RNAcentral lists this long non-coding RNA (968 nucleotides) under Rhinopithecus bieti (black snub-nosed monkey). Its description in RNAcentral is "lncRNA (ENSRBIG00000046315.1)". The record is from RNAcentral. Lineage: Eukaryota; Metazoa; Chordata; Mammalia; Primates; Cercopithecidae.
AACAAUUUGUGGGUUAGAAGUCUUCCCCUCUGGCCGUAGUUGAGCAAGGGGAAAAACACUGUCUUUAAUCCCACCUUUGCUGCCCCCUGGUUUCAGUGGGAAAAGCCACAUUAUUAGAGAGAAAGGCCCUGUCAAGAAAGAAAGGUCAGAAAGGUAGAGGCAGGGAGAAAAAGCAGAGGUUGUAAUAGUAUCACUGGGUGAGGCCCAGGAAGGUAAGCAGCACAGCGGGAGUUGUUACGGAUGUCAUUAUUAUAGCAUUCAAGGAUUGUGCCCCUUUGUGAUCAGGGCCAUUCUCUGACCUGGAUGUCCUCUUUCAAUCACUUGCUAUGGGAAGCGUUAAGGAGUUUUGUCGUCCUAAGAUAGAAAGAGAUGAGAGUACUCAAGGCCUUUGGAAAAGCAGAGUGGGAUUAGUAGAAUUGACCUAGCAUUCAAAAUCUCGGUAAUUGUGCCUGACUGUGGGUUUGAUCUGGGAACAGGUUCUCCUCUAAUACUCCUGGAACAGCUGCUAUAGGCAUUCUCCUAGAAGAAAACCACUUAUGCCUAGGAGUUUGGAAUCUGGCAAGGCACUUAGAGGCUCCCAGAAAAUCAGAGAAGGAAGACCUGCAGAUGGGGAAAGAUACAAGACCCACCUGGAGCUCCAGCUCUGGGAACCCCUCUCCAGACUGUAAAACUUGUGGUGAAAUGGAUUGAUAAUGUCCUGUUUAAUCAGACAGAUGAACACCUUGUUACCUUAGGAAAAACACUUCAACUUCAAGAAACCUUGGUCAUCAUCUGUAAGAUGAGGUCAACUACUUCUAAACCACAAGGUUGUUCAGAAAAUUCAAAGAUGUCAGGUGAGUAACAUGCCCAGAAGAAUGUCUAACCCCAAGUAGAGCCUUAACAAAUGUUUGUUUUCUCCCCUUUCCCUUGUGUAAAUUUAUUAACAACUACCUCAGAUAUACCUGUGAUGGUUUUAUUUUUACCUAUUA